AGUGAACGCUGGCGGUAGGCCUAACACAUGCAAGUCGAACGGCAGCACAGUAAGCGCUUGCUCUUACGGGUGGCGAGUGGCGGGCGGGUGAGGCAUACAUAGGCAUCUACUUUUUCGUGGGGGACUUCGUAGGGACACUUACGCUAAUACCGCAUACGUUCUACGGCUGAAAUCAAAAGAUCAUCGGACUCUUGCUGACACAAUGAGACGGUGUCGGAUUAGCUAGUUGGCGGGGUAAAGGCACACCAAGGCGACGAUCCGUAGCUGGUCUGAGAGGAUGAUCAGCCACACUGGAACUGAGACACGGUCCAGACUCCUACGGGAGGCAGCAGUGGGGAAUAUUGGACAAUGGGCGCAAGCCUGAUCCAGCAAUACCGCGUGAGUGAAGAAGGCCUUCGGGUUGUAAAGCCCUGUUGUUAGGAAAGAAAAGCAGUGGGUGAAUACCCCGCUAUUCUGACGGUACCCAAAGAGUAAGCACCGGCUAACUUCGUG
This 492-nucleotide ribosomal RNA is filed under the name uncultured bacterium. Its description in RNAcentral is "partial 16S ribosomal RNA". It matches the Rfam family "Bacterial small subunit ribosomal RNA", at positions 29 to 507 of the family's 1533-position model. The record is from RNAcentral.